GUGCACGUUUCCCGCAGCACACAUACUAACAUUGGAGGGAUACAGAGAAGAGUGGCACGGCCUCUGCACAGGAAUGAUGUGCUAAUGUGUGAAGCCUUUCAAUUUCCU
Small nuclear RNA from Ochotona princeps (American pika), 108 nucleotides. Lineage: Eukaryota; Metazoa; Chordata; Mammalia; Lagomorpha; Ochotonidae. The record is from Ensembl.